CCGAAGUUGCCCAUCCCUGCUGUAAAUUUAUCAAAUGUAUAAAAAUGUAAAAAAAAAACAAGGUUCUAGUGAGGCAUCUACAAUUGAAGCAAAUGGACAGUUUCUGGAGGAUUUAUAAACGAAGACACUCGUACAAGUUCGGAACAACAUGAGGAAUGAUGGGAGUACAAAACGUGUCAAAAUUGAGUUCUGACCGAAGAAUAGCAGCUGUCUCCAGCAUCUCAGCC
Sinocyclocheilus anshuiensis is the source of this 227-nucleotide long non-coding RNA. RefSeq lists it as uncharacterized. Lineage: Eukaryota; Metazoa; Chordata; Actinopteri; Cypriniformes; Cyprinidae. The transcript is spliced from 3 exons. The record is from RefSeq and is a predicted model, not a curated record.